Molecule: long non-coding RNA, 440 nt
Organism: Passer montanus (Eurasian tree sparrow)
Lineage: Eukaryota; Metazoa; Chordata; Aves; Passeriformes; Passeridae
Exons: 3
Source: RefSeq, a predicted model, not a curated record
UGGUCUCCACUGGAAGAGCCACAGAAAAGGGGAAGUUUUGGGAGAGAUCAAAGAGGAGCUUUGGCUCUCCUCCUUCCAGAGGAAGAGUAGUUGAUAUAUUUAAUUGCAGCUGGGACUUCCACUUCUCUUCUUGGCAGACAGUUUUGUUUAAAAUCUUUCCUUAUCAAUUCACAAUUCUGCAAGAUGAUUUAUUAACUAGAAGACUUCAUUUUACCAUUUUUUGAUAAACAUGGGUUAUAUGGAUGUGAAAUGAUUUGCUGAAAGCCAUCCUGCAGAGGUGACAUAAAAAGAAAUCCCCAGUUCUGGACUCCAUCAGGCAAAGCACCCCUGCAAACCCACAAGUACAUCACUGUCAAGCCAGCAAGCUGAGACAGAGAGAAUAUUCACCUGCAAAGUCAGCUUGAUUCAGUGCUCAUCAGACAGCACACAGGUGUUAAAGG